AUUCUACUCCCUCCGUUGCACAAUACAUGCCUUCUAUUUGUGAAAAUAUAUAUGUAUCUAGACAUGUCUUAGUAUAUAGGUACAUCCAUUUUUGGACAAAUGGAAGUCAAGUAUUUUGGAACGGAGGGAGUACACA
Non-coding RNA from Triticum aestivum (bread wheat), 136 nucleotides. The record is from Rfam. NCBI's taxonomy places the organism in Eukaryota, Viridiplantae, Streptophyta, Magnoliopsida, Poales, Poaceae.